This 1521-nucleotide long non-coding RNA is filed under the name Citrus x clementina. RNAcentral's name for it is "Citrus clementina (C. clementina) long non-coding RNA (CCLE_LNC005816)". Lineage: Eukaryota; Viridiplantae; Streptophyta; Magnoliopsida; Sapindales; Rutaceae. The record is from RNAcentral.
UCGUCCAGCGGAAAAUGGCCACAAAAACGGGUGGGCUAUACCCUUGGGGGGUGGGGCUGGCCGAUUUCGUCCGCCGGACUCGGAAUGCCGCGAGACUUUGCGAGGGGCUUCCGUGUGCCAAAAAUAGGCCACGGGCAAAGCCGCGCCCAUAAAUAACCGCCCGAAGGCCGGGGCGCCAAGUUCGUCCAGCGGAAAAAGGCCACAAAAACGGGUGGGCUAUAGCCAUGGGGGGUGGGGCUGGCCAACCUCGUCCGCCGGACUUGUAAUACCGCGAGAAUUUGAGAGGGGCCUCCGUGUGCAAAAAAUAGGCCGCGGGCAAAGCCGCGCCCAAAAAUAACCUCCCGAAGGCCGGGGCACCCAGUUCGUCCAGCGGAAAAAGGCCACAAAAACGGAUGGGCUAUAGCCUUGGGGGGUGGGGCUGGCCCACUUCAUCCGCCGGACUCGGAAUGCCGCGAGACUUUGCGAGGGGCCUCCGUGUGCCAAAAAUAAAACGCGGACAAAGCCGCGCCCAAAAAUAACCGCCCGAAGGCCGGGGCGCAAAGUUCGUCCAGCGGAAAAAGGCCACAAAAAUGGGUGGGCUAUAGCCUUGGGGGGUGGGGCGGCCCCCUUCGUCCGCCGGACUCGGAAUGCCGCGAGACUUUGCGAGGGGCCUCCGUGUGCGAAAAAUAGGCCGCGGGCAAAGCCACGCCCAAAAAUAACCGCCCGAAGGCCGGGGCGCCAAGUUCGUCCAGCGGAAAAAGCCCACAAAAACGGGUGGGCUAUAGCCUUGGGGGGUGGGGCUGGCCAAUUUCGUCCGCCGGACUCGGAAUGCCGCGAGACUUUGCGAGGGUUCUCCGUGAGCCAAAAACAGGCCUCGGUGAAAGCCGUGCCCAAAAAUAACUGCACGAAGGCCGGGGUGCCAUGUUCGUCCAGCGGAAAAAGCCCACAAAAACGGGUGGGCUAUAGCCUUGGGGGGUGGGGCUGGCCAACUUCGAUCGCCGGACUCGGAAUGGAGCGAGACUUUGCGAGGGGCCUCCGUGUGCCAAAAAUAGGCCGCGGGCACAGCCGCGCCCAAACAUUACCGCCCGAAGCCCGGGGUGCCAAGUUCGUCCAGCGGAAAAAGGCCACAAAAACGGGUGGGCUAUAGCCAUGGGGGGUGGGGCUGGCCAACCUCGUCCGCCGGACUCGCAAUACCGCGAGAAUUUGAGAGGGGCCUCCGUGUGCAAAAAAUAGGCCGCGGACAAAGCCGCGCCCAAAAAUAACCUCCCGAAGGCCGGGGCACCCAGUUCGUCCAGCGGAAAAAGGCCACAAAAACGGAUGGGCUAUAGCCUUGGGGGGUGGGGCUGGCCCACUUCAUCCGCCGGACUCGGAAUGCCGCGAGACUUUGCGAGGGGCCUCCGUGUGCCAAAAAUAAGACGCGGACAAAGCCGCGCCCAAAAAUAACCGCCCGAAGGCCGGGGCGCAAAGUUCGUCCAGCGGAAAAAGGCCACAAAAACGGGUGGGCUAUAGCCUUGGGAGGUGGGGCGGCCCCCUUCGUCCGCC